UGUCGCGUGGUGAGAUUCGAGGGUUCUCUUCCUCGGUUUCGUUCAAAUGAUUAUUUGCUGGUGCCUAAUGUGCUUGUCCCGGCAUUUCGAUCUUUCCUUUGCAGCUGUUUGCACUUGGUGGCCCAUAGCCUUAACCGGUGCUUGGUUAUUAAGACCUCAGGGUCGUCCCGUCUGCUCGCAACAAAACCAAGCUCUGUUUCCAGUGGGCAUGUCCUCAGAAAAGAAAUAAACCACUGAUCUCGAUUGUAAAAGGCUGGAUGGCGGAUAGGGAGCGCGAGCGUGAAGAAACCGGCCGCCAUCUUACUGUACCCACAACAGUCGCCGCAGCGAUCAUGGCAACUUCUUGCAAUUACGGUCGUACCAACAGUACUGGCAAGGUUACAGGGCCUAAAUUUAUACAGGUUUUGUCAUGAGGGCUACCCAGUGAAUUAUCUGUGCGGUGUGAUACGGCUGGGUGUACAGGUUACUUCACAGCUGCCUCAACAUACUCAAGAAAUGGGUGCAGAACCUGCGUAAUGCCCACAAACUUUGACUACCACAGCACCUCCAUAAAGUAAAGGCAUAUGUGUCACAUGGGAUUUUUAAAGGCAUUCACAGUAUAUAAUACCUUGUAUGAACUGUUGUUGAUCUAAGCAGCCUCUACAGUACACUCUCAGAAAUUAAAACUUGUCAGGGAACUGUGAUAAUUGUUCCAGUUAAUAGGCAUGCAUAUGUACGCUAUAAGAAGAAAAUUAUUUAUUGAGAAUGCACUACUGUUGAUCACACUCGUGCAGCUGUAGGUUUACCUUCGGCCUCUUGGAACUCUUUUUUUUAGUUGCCUUAGCUGCAGGAGGAGUGUCAUCGAGCAUGUCAACUACUUGCAGAAAUAUUGACGUAUUUAAGAUUAUGACACAGUUUGAAGGGUUUCAAUUCAGGAAAUUUGCAGUGGCAGGGCCUGCCAGAGUGAAACCUACUGAAUAUUUUAUGGUGUCGAAGUGGCAGUUCCUCCAGGAUAGGAAUAUCUUAGAUGGGAGCAAAAAGCUUGAAAUUAACAAAGUGUUGUUUGCAUUAAGCAAUUUGUAAUACACUGAACACAUAGGCAGCAAAACAAAAAUUUAAAAUUCAGCAUGUAUGAAAAUUGGGUGCAACAAAUUUGCAUAGUGUACGUGUACAUUGUCAUUCCUGAGAUAUAUAUUGUCAUUGCAGGGAGGUCACAAAACAAUAAAUGUAUUGUUUUGUCACUUCCCUGCACAUUCAUUGUAUCUUGAAAUGCGUAUAUGCCAGAAUAAAUGUUGAACUUGAAAAAUGUAUAUUCUCUUCAUUCAUAGAGCAUAACAUCACUUAUCUUCUUUACAAAAGCAUAGCGUGUUACAUCUUUGUCACGCAGAACGCACAACCAAGAAAGCCAUCUUCCAUUAAAUAUCACGUUUCAGACAUGAUUCAGUUGGUAUCAUUUCAUAGACGGUACACCAGGGCUCGAGUUUCAAGCUCCAAAUCGUCAUGUUGCAGUUUGGAAACCGUACAUGUGUAGUGCAAGAGAGCCCUCGCACAUUAAAAUGUAAGAUGGGAGUCACCGUUACUGAAAAGUAACUCCUAUGAGAGAGUCUGAUGCUGCAGAAAAGUGUGCAAACUGCGGAAAGUGUCAUAGAAGAUCUUCAGAAAUCGUGCCUGGUUUCACGGCAGUGCUACCACACUCCCUUUUAGAUGACGAUGAUAUUGAUUGGAGUUUCAGAUGUGCAGCUGCAUUUUUUGCAACGUGCUCCUCCUGCUUCUCUGGCUACUCAUGUU
Molecule: long non-coding RNA, 1767 nt
Organism: Ornithodoros turicata
Lineage: Eukaryota; Metazoa; Arthropoda; Arachnida; Ixodida; Argasidae
Exons: 3
Source: RefSeq, a predicted model, not a curated record